GGGUUGUGAGGUUAAGCGACUAAGCGUACACGGUGGAUGCCCUGGCAGUCAGAGGCGAUGAAGGACGUGCUAAUCUGCGAAAAGCGUCGGUAAGGUGAUAUGAACCGUUACAGCCGGCGAUGUCCGAAUGGGGAAACCCAGUGCAAUUCGUUGCACUAUCGUUAACUGAAUACAUAGGUUAACGAAGCGAACCGGGGGAACUGAAACAUCUAAGUACCCCGAGGAAAAGAAAUCAACCGAGAUUCCCCCAGUAGCGGCGAGCGAACGGGGAGCAGCCCAGAGUCUGAAUCAGCUUGUGUGUUAGUGGAACGGUCUGGAAAGUCCGACGGUACAGGGUGAUAGUCCCGUACACCAAAAUGCACAGGCUGUGAACUCGAAGAGUAGGGCGGGACACGUGGUAUCCUGUCUGAAUAUGGGGGGACCAUCCUCCAAGGCUAAAUACUCCUGACUGACCGAUAGUGAACCAGUACCGUGAGGGAAAGGCGAAAAGAACCCCGGCGAGGGGAGUGAAAAAGAACCUGAAACCGUGUACGUACAAGCAGUGGGAGCACCUUCGGGUGUGACUGCGUACCUUUUGUAUAAUGGGUCAGCGACUUAUAUUCUGUAGCAAGGUUAACCGUAUAGGGGAGCCGCAGGGAAACCGAGUCUUAACUGGGCGUUAAGUUGCAGGGUAUAGACCCGAAACCCGGUGAUCUAGCCAUGGGCAGGUUGAAGGUUGGGUAACACUAACUGGAGGACCGAACCGACUAAUGUUGAAAAAUUAGCGGAUGACUUGUGGCUGGGGGUGAAAGGCCAAUCAAACCGGGAGAUAGCUGGUUCUCCCCGAAAGCUAUUUAGGUAGCGCCUCGUGAACUCAUCUUCGGGGGUAGAGCACUGUUUCGGCUAGGGGGUCAUCCCGACUUACCAACCCGAUGCAAACUACGAAUACCGAAGAAUGUUAUCACGGGAGACACACGGCGGGUGCUAACGUCCGUCGUGAAGAGGGAAACAACCCAGACCGCCAGCUAAGGUCCCAAAGUCACAGUUAAGUGGGAAACGAUGUGGGAAGGCACAGACAGCCAGGAUGUUGGCUUAGAAGCAGCCAUCAUUUAAAGAAAGCGUAAUAGCUCACUGGUCGAGUCGGCCUGCGCGGAAGAUGUAACGGGGCUAAACUGUGCACCGAAGCUGCGGCAGCGACACUAUGUGUUGUUGGGUAGGGGAGCGUUCUGUAAGCCUGCGAAGGUGGCCUGUGAGGGUUGCUGGAGGUAUCAGAAGUGCGAAUGCUGACAUAAGUAACGAUAAUGCGGGUGAAAAGCCCGCACGCCGGAAGACCAAGGGUUCCUGUCCAACGUUAAUCGGGGCAGGGUGAGUCGACCCCUAAGGCGAGGCCGAAAGGCGUAGUCGAUGGGAAACAGGUUAAUAUUCCUGUACUUGGUGUUACUGCGAAGGGGGGACGGAGAAGGCUAUGUUAGCCGGGCGACGGUUGUCCCGGUUUAAGCAUGUAGGCGGAGGUUCCAGGUAAAUCCGGUACCUUUUUAACGCUGAGGUGUGAUGACGAGGCACUACGGUGCUGAAGUAACAAAUGCCCUGCUUCCAGGAAAAGCCUCUAAGCAUCAGGUAACAUUAAAUCGUACCCCAAACCGACACAGGUGGUCAGGUAGAGAAUACCAAGGCGCUUGAGAGAACUCGGGUGAAGGAACUAGGCAAAAUGGUGCCGUAACUUCGGGAGAAGGCACGCUGAUAUGUAGGUGAAGCCCCUGCGGGUGGAGCUGAAAUCAGUCGAAGAUACCAGCUGGCUGCAACUGUUUAUUAAAAACACAGCACUGUGCAAACACGAAAGUGGACGUAUACGGUGUGACGCCUGCCCGGUGCCGGAAGGUUAAUUGAUGGGGUUAUCCGUAAGGAGAAGCUCUUGAUCGAAGCCCCGGUAAACGGCGGCCGUAACUAUAACGGUCCUAAGGUAGCGAAAUUCCUUGUCGGGUAAGUUCCGACCUGCACGAAUGGCGUAAUGAUGGCCAGGCUGUCUCCACCCGAGACUCAGUGAAAUUGAACUCGCUGUGAAGAUGCAGUGUACCCGCGGCAAGACGGAAAGACCCCGUGAACCUUUACUAUAGCUUGACACUGAACAUUGAGCCUUGAUGUGUAGGAUAGGUGGGAGGCUUUGAAGCGUGGACGCCAGUCUGCGUGGAGCCAACCUUGAAAUACCACCCUUUAAUGUUUGAUGUUCUAACGUUGGCCCCUGAUCGGGGUUGCGGACAGUGUCUGGUGGGUAGUUUGACUGGGGCGGUCUCCUCCCAAAGAGUAACGGAGGAGCACGAAGGUUAGCUAAUCCUGGUCGGACAUCAGGAGGUUAGUGCAAUGGCAUAAGCUAGCUUGACUGCGAGCGUGACGGCGCGAGCAGGUGCGAAAGCAGGUCAUAGUGAUCCGGUGGUUCUGAAUGGAAGGGCCAUCGCUCAACGGAUAAAAGGUACUCCGGGGAUAACAGGCUGAUACCGCCCAAGAGUUCAUAUCGACGGCGGUGUUUGGCACCUCGAUGUCGGCUCAUCACAUCCUGGGGCUGAAGUAGGUCCCAAGGGUAUGGCUGUUCGCCAUUUAAAGUGGUACGCGAGCUGGGUUUAGAACGUCGUGAGACAGUUCGGUCCCUAUCUGCCGUGGGCGCUGGAGAAUUGAGGGGGGCUGCUCCUAGUACGAGAGGACCGGAGUGGACGCAUCACUGGUGUUCGGGUUGUCAUGCCAAUGGCAUUGCCCGGUAGCUAAAUGCGGAAGAGAUAAGUGCUGAAAGCAUCUAAGCACGAAACUUGCCCCGAGAUGAGUUCUCCCUGACUCCUUGAGAGUCCUGAAGGAACGUUAAAGACGAUGACGUUGAUAGGUCGGGUGUGUAAGCGUAGCGAUACGUUGAGCUAACCGAUACUAAUGAACCGUGAGGCUUAACCUUACAACGCCGAAGGUGUUU
This 2932-nucleotide ribosomal RNA is filed under the name Klebsiella aerogenes. RNAcentral describes it as "23S ribosomal RNA". It matches the Rfam family "Bacterial large subunit ribosomal RNA". Lineage: Bacteria; Pseudomonadati; Pseudomonadota; Gammaproteobacteria; Enterobacterales; Enterobacteriaceae. The record is from RNAcentral.